RNAcentral lists this ribosomal RNA (839 nucleotides) under Cordyceps nidus. RNAcentral describes it as "eukaryotic LSU rRNA". It matches the Rfam family "Eukaryotic large subunit ribosomal RNA", at positions 41 to 911 of the family's 3401-position model. The record is from RNAcentral. Lineage: Eukaryota; Fungi; Ascomycota; Sordariomycetes; Hypocreales; Cordycipitaceae.
UAUCAAUAAGCGGAGGAAAAGAAACCAACAGGGAUUGCCCCAGUAACGGCGAGUGAAGCGGCAACAGCUCAAAUUUGAAAUCUGGCCCUUCCGGUCCGAGUUGUAAUUUGCAGAGGAUGCUUUUGGCGAGGUGCCUUCCGAGUUCCCUGGAACGGGACGCCAUAGAGGGUGAGAGCCCCGUCUGGUCGGACACCGAGCCUCUGUAAAGCUCCUUCGACGAGUCGAGUAGUUUGGGAAUGCUGCUCAAAAUGGGAGGUAUAUGUCUUCUAAAGCUAAAUAUUGGCCAGAGACCGAUAGCGCACAAGUAGAGUGAUCGAAAGAUGAAAAGCACUUUGAAAAGAGGGUUAAAAAGUACGUGAAAUUGUUGAAAGGGAAGCGCCUAUGACCAGACUUGGGCCCGGUGAAUCACCCAGCGUUCUCGCUGGGGCACUUUGCCGGGCACAGGCCAGCAUCAGUUUGGCGCGGGGGAGAAAGGCUUCGGGAAUGUGGCUCCCUCGGGAGUGUUAUAGCCCGCUGCGUAAUACCCUGCGCCGGACUGAGGUACGCGCAUUGCAAGGAUGCUGGCGUAAUGGUCAUCAGCGACCCGUCUUGAAACACGGACCAAGGAGUCGUCUUCGUAUGCGAGUGUUCGGGUGUCAAACCCCUACGCGUAAUGAAAGUGAACGCAGGUGAGAGCUUCGGCGCAUCAUCGACCGAUCCUGAUGUUCUCGGAUGGAUUUGAGUAAGAGCAUACGGGGCCGGACCCGAAAGAAGGUGAACUAUGCCUGUAUAGGGUGAAGCCAGAGGAAACUCUGGUGGAGGCUCGCAGCGGUUCUGACGUGCGAAUCGAUCGUCAAAUA